GGCAGUGUAGCUCAUUGGUAAAGCAUGUGCUUAGCAUGCAUGAGACCCUGGGUUCAAUCCUCAGCACCA
This 69-nucleotide transfer RNA is filed under the name Heterocephalus glaber (naked mole-rat). It matches the Rfam family "tRNA". From Rfam's summary of the family: Transfer RNA (tRNA) molecules are approximately 80 nucleotides in length. Their secondary structure includes four short double-helical elements and three loops (D, anti-codon, and T loops). Further hydrogen bonds mediate the characteristic L-shaped molecular structure. tRNAs have two regions of fundamental functional importance: the anti-codon, which is responsible for specific mRNA codon recognition, and the 3' end, to which the tRNAs corresponding amino acid is attached (by aminoacyl-tRNA synthetases). tRNAs cope with the degeneracy of the genetic code in two manners: having more than one tRNA (with a specific anti-codon) for a particular amino acid; and 'wobble' base-pairing, i.e. permitting non-standard base-pairing at the 3rd anti-codon position. The record is from Rfam by way of RNAcentral. Lineage: Eukaryota; Metazoa; Chordata; Mammalia; Rodentia; Bathyergidae.